This 446-nucleotide ribosomal RNA is filed under the name uncultured bacterium. RNAcentral describes it as "bacterial SSU rRNA". It matches the Rfam family "Bacterial small subunit ribosomal RNA", at positions 958 to 1399 of the family's 1533-position model. The record is from RNAcentral.
AACGCGAAGAACCUUACCAGCCCUUGACAUCCCGGUCGCGGACACCAGAGAUGGAGUCUUUCAGUUCGGCUGGACCGGAGACAGGUGCUGCAUGGCUGUCGUCAGCUCGUGUCGUGAGAUGUUGGGUUAAGUCCCGCAACGAGCGCAACCCUUAUCCCUAGUUGCCAUCGGGUCAAGCCGGGCACUCUAGUGAAACUGCCUGGGAUAACCAGGAGGAAGGUGGGGAUGACGUCAAGUCCUCAUGGCCUUUAUGUCCAGGGCUACACACGUGCUACAAUGGUCGGUACAAACCGUCGCAAACCCGUGAGGGGGAGCUAAUCGGAAAAAGCCGGCCUCAGUUCGGAUUGGAGUCUGCAACUCGACUCCAUGAAGCUGGAAUCGCUAGUAAUCGCGGAUCAGAACGCCGCGGUGAAUACGUUCCCGGGCCUUGUACACACCGACGCGUA